CUGACUGCUAUCGGAUUGAUACUAAGCCAUGCGAGUCAUUGUAGCAAUACAAGGCAGACGGCUCAGUAACGCGUAGUCAACCUACCUUAUGGACGGGGAUAACCUCGGGAAACUGAGAAUAAUACCCGAUAGAACAUGAUGCCUGGAAUGGUUUAUGUUUCAAAUAAUUUAUUGCCGUAAGAUGGGACUGCGGCCUAUCAGUUUGUUGGUGAGGUAAUGGCCCACCAAGACUAUUACAGGUACGGGCUCUGAGAGGAGUAGCCCGGAGAUGGGUACUGAGACACGGACCCAGGCCCUAUGGGGCGCAGCAGGCGAGAAAACUUUGCAAUGUGCGAAAGCACGACAAGGUUAAUCCGAGUGGUUUCUGCUAAAGGAACCUUUUGUCAGUCCUAGAAACACUAACGAAUAAGGGGUGGGCAAGUUCUGGUGUCAGCCGCCGCGGUAAAACCAGCACCUCAAGUGGUCAGGAUGAUUAUUGGGCCUAAAGCAUCCGUAGCCUGCUUUGUAAGUUUUCGGUUAAAUCCAUACGCUCAACGUAUGGGCUGCCGGGAAUACUGCAAAGCUAGGGAGUGGGAGAGGUAGACGGUACUCGGUAGGAAGGGGUAAAAUCCUUUGAUCUAUUGAUGACCACCUGUGGCGAAGGCGGUCUACCAGAACACGUCCGACGGUGAGGGAUGAAAGCUGGGGGAGCAAACCGGAUUAGAUACCCGGGUAGUCCCAGCUGUAAACUAUGCAAACUCGGUGAUGCAUUGGCUUGAUGCCAAUGCAGUGCCGCAGGGAAGCCGUUAAGUUUGCCGCCUGGGAAGUACGUACGCAAGUAUGAAACUUAAAGGAAUUGGCGGGGGAGCACCACAAGGGGUGAAGCCUGCGGUUCAAUUGGAUUCAACGCCGGA
This 893-nucleotide ribosomal RNA is filed under the name uncultured archaeon. RNAcentral's name for it is "bacterial SSU rRNA". It matches the Rfam family "Archaeal small subunit ribosomal RNA", at positions 23 to 922 of the family's 1478-position model. The record is from RNAcentral.